RNAcentral lists this transfer RNA (73 nucleotides) under Rickettsiales bacterium. Its description in RNAcentral is "tRNA-Asp". It matches the Rfam family "tRNA". Rfam says of the family: Transfer RNA (tRNA) molecules are approximately 80 nucleotides in length. Their secondary structure includes four short double-helical elements and three loops (D, anti-codon, and T loops). Lineage: Bacteria; Pseudomonadati; Pseudomonadota; Alphaproteobacteria; Rickettsiales. The record is from RNAcentral.
GGUCCCGUAGUGUAGCGGUUAUUACGUCGCCCUGUCACGGCGAAGAUCGCGGGUUCAAUUCCCGUCGGGACCG